GGCGGAGUGCUAGAGUGGUGAAUAGGUGUGACUCGAAAUCACAUGGCUUCGGCCGCGCAGGUUCGAAUCCUGUCUCCGUCG
Molecule: transfer RNA, 81 nt
Filed under: Colletotrichum orbiculare MAFF 240422
Lineage: Eukaryota; Fungi; Ascomycota; Sordariomycetes; Glomerellales; Glomerellaceae
Description: tRNA-Ser (CGA) (tRNA-Ser-CGA-3-1)
Rfam family: tRNA
About the family: Transfer RNA (tRNA) molecules are approximately 80 nucleotides in length. Their secondary structure includes four short double-helical elements and three loops (D, anti-codon, and T loops). Further hydrogen bonds mediate the characteristic L-shaped molecular structure. tRNAs have two regions of fundamental functional importance: the anti-codon, which is responsible for specific mRNA codon recognition, and the 3' end, to which the tRNAs corresponding amino acid is attached (by aminoacyl-tRNA synthetases). tRNAs cope with the degeneracy of the genetic code in two manners: having more than one tRNA (with a specific anti-codon) for a particular amino acid; and 'wobble' base-pairing, i.e. permitting non-standard base-pairing at the 3rd anti-codon position.
Source: RNAcentral